This 268-nucleotide unclassified non-coding RNA is filed under the name Borreliella sp. MOK-3a. RNAcentral describes it as "Borrelia sp. MOK-3a partial miscellaneous RNA". The record is from RNAcentral. Lineage: Bacteria; Pseudomonadati; Spirochaetota; Spirochaetia; Spirochaetales; Borreliaceae.
CUGCGAGUUCGCGGGAGAGUAGGUUAUUGCCAGGGUUUUUAUUUUUACGCUUUAAGUCUUGAUUUUAUAUUUAUGUUUUUUAAAUAUUAGUGUUUUUGGAUGUAUUAUUUAGGUAGCAUAAAAAGUAAAAUAUAUGUUGACAUGGAUUAAACAUAGAUAGAUAUGUGUAUCUAUCUAUUAUUUUAUGCUGCAUAAGCAAAUUGGCAAAAUAGAGAUGGAAGAUAAAAAUAUGGUCAAAGUAAUAAGAGUCUAUGGUGAAUGCCUAGGA